CUUCUUAAGACGUAAUUUAAGAUAAAACCUGCUCAAUGAAACACUUAAAUAGCCGCAGUUAUUACUGUGCUAAGGUAGCAUAAUCACUUGCUUUUUAAUUAAAAGAUAGAAUGAAUGGUACAACGAAAUAAAAACUAUAUAGUUAAUAAAUUUAUAAAUUAACUUAAUAGUAAAAAGGCUAUUUCAAACCAAUAAAGACGACAAGACCCUGACAAACUACAUUUUCAGCUGGGGCGGCAUAACAAAAACACCUUAUAGUAUAACCCACACAAAAUAAAACUAUUAUAAAUAAAUUAACAUUAGUUACUGCAGGGAUAACAGCGCUACUUUUUUUAAGAGUUCUAAUCUAAAAAAAAAUCUACGACCUCGAUGUUGAAUUAUUUACCCUAAUUAUCUUAAUGCAAAAAUUAAUCUUAGGUGGUCUGUUCGACCAAUAAUAAAAU
Molecule: ribosomal RNA, 443 nt
Filed under: Wugigarra sp. Ind96
Lineage: Eukaryota; Metazoa; Arthropoda; Arachnida; Araneae; Pholcidae
Description: partial 16S ribosomal RNA
Rfam family: Bacterial large subunit ribosomal RNA
Source: RNAcentral